RNAcentral lists this ribosomal RNA (460 nucleotides) under uncultured bacterium. RNAcentral describes it as "bacterial SSU rRNA". It matches the Rfam family "Bacterial small subunit ribosomal RNA", at positions 339 to 796 of the family's 1533-position model. The record is from RNAcentral.
CUACGGGAGGCAGGAGUAAGGAAUAUUGGUCAAUGGAGGCAACUCUGAACCAGCCAUGCCGCGUGCAGGAUGACGGCCCUAUGGGUUGUAAACUGCUUUUGUACAAGAGAAAACCCCAGUACGUGUACUGGGUUGGUAGUAUUGUAAGAAUAAGCAUCGGCUAACUUCGUGCCAGCAGCCGCGGUAAGACGAAGGAUGCAAGCGUUAUCCGGAUUCAUUGGGUUUAAAGGGUGCGUAGGCGGAUUGGUAAGUCAGUGGUGAAAGCCGGCAGCUUAACUGUCGAAUUGCCAUUGAUACUGUCGAUCUAGAGUAUAGAUGACGUUGGCGGAAUAUGACAUGUAGUGGUGAAAUACUUAGAUAUGUCAUAGAACACCGAUUGCGAAGGCAGCUAACGAAACUAUAACUGACGCUGAGGCACGAAAGUGCGGGGAUCAAACAGGAUUAGAUACCCCGGUAGUCC